Long non-coding RNA from Perca flavescens (yellow perch), 128 nucleotides. RefSeq lists it as uncharacterized. Lineage: Eukaryota; Metazoa; Chordata; Actinopteri; Perciformes; Percidae. The transcript is spliced from 4 exons. The record is from RefSeq and is a predicted model, not a curated record.
CAGAAACACUCAUGUUGCUGCAACUCAGGUACUCUGUGGCAACUGCAUCCCAGGUGAGUAAAUUGAAUUUAUUGUUGUGUAUAGGGCUAACCAAGCCCGGGCCCCCACAAGGGCUCACGAUGAACGGG